GACGAACGCUGGCGGCGUGCUUAACACAUGCAAGUCGAACGGAAAGGCCCCUUCGGGGGUACUCGAGUGGCGAACGGGUGAGUAACACGUGGGUAAUCUGCCCUGCACUUCGGGAUAAGCCUGGGAAACUGGGUCUAAUACCGGAUAGGACCUCGAGGCGCAUGCCUUGUGGUGGAAAGCUUUUGCGGUGUGGGAUGGGCCCGCGGCCUAUCAGCUAGUUGGUGGGGUGACGGCCUACCAAGGCGACGACGGGUAGCCGGCCUGAGAGGGUGUCCGGCCACACUGGGACUGAGAUACGGCCCAGACUCCUACGGGAGGCAGCAGUGGGGAAUAUUGCACAAUGGGCGCAAGCCUGAUGCAGCGACGCCGCGUGGGGGAUGACGGCCUUCGGGUUGUAAACCUCUUUCAGCAGGGACGAAGCGCAAGUGACGGUACCUGCAGAAGAAGCACCGGCCAACUACG
Molecule: ribosomal RNA, 462 nt
Filed under: Mycobacterium interjectum
Lineage: Bacteria; Bacillati; Actinomycetota; Actinomycetes; Mycobacteriales; Mycobacteriaceae
Description: bacterial SSU rRNA
Rfam family: Bacterial small subunit ribosomal RNA
Source: RNAcentral